GCAAGUCGUACGAGAACGCUUCAGCUUGCUGAAGCUAGUAAAGUGGCGUACGGGUGAGUAACGCGUGGGUAAUCUACCUUCGAAUUGGGGAUAACGUUGCGAAAGUGACGCUAAUACCGGAUAAUAUCAUAGAGACCUUGGUUUUUAUGAUCAAAGAUGGCCUCUCCUUGGAAGCUAUUGUUUGGAGAUGAGCCCGCGCCCCAUUAGCUUGUUGGUGGGGUAAUGGCCUACCAAGGCAACGAUGGGUAGCUGGUCUGAGAGGAUGAUCAGCCACACUGGAACUGACACACGGUCCUGACUCCUACGGGAGGCAGCAGUGAGGAAUUUUGCGCAAUGGGGGAAACCCUGACGCAGCAACGCCGCGUGAGUGAUGAAGGCUUUCGGGUCGUAAAGCUCUGUCAAGUGGGAAGAACUCCCGUGAGGUUAAUACCCUCAUGGUUUGACGGUACCACUGAAGGAAGCACCGGCUAACUCCGUGCCAGCAGCCGCGGUAAUACGGGGGGUGCAAGCGUUAUCCGGAUUUACUGGGCGUAAAGCGCGCGUAGGCGGCCGUUUAAGUCAGAUGUGAAAGCCCGGGGCUCAACCCCGGAAGUGCAUUUGAUACUAUUCGGCUUGAGUAUGGGAGAGGGAAGUGGAAUUCCUGGUGUAGAGGUGAAAUUCGUAGAUAUCAGGAGGAACACCGGUGGCGAAGGCGACUUCCUGGACCAAUACUGACGCUGAGGCGCGAAGGCGUGGGUAGCAAACAGGAUUAGAUACCCUGGUAGUCCACGCAGUAAACGGUGAUCACUAGGUGUAGCGGGUAUUGACCCCUGCUGUGCCGCAGCUAACGCAUUAAGUGAUCCGCCUGGGGAGUACGGCCGCAAGGUUAAAACUCAAAGGAAUUGACGGGGGCCCGCACAAGCGGUGGAGCAUGUGGUUUAAUUCGACGCAACGCGAAGAACCUUACCUGGAUUUGACAUCUCGGGAAUUUCUAUGAAAGUAGGAAGUGCCCUUCGGGGAGCCCGAUGACAGGUGCUGCAUGGCUGUCGUCAGCUCGUGUCGUGAGAUGUUGGGUUAAGUCCCGCAACGAGCGCAACCCCUAUCUUUAGUUACCAGCACUUCGGGUGGGGACUCUAAAGAUACUGCCCCGGUCAACGGGGAGGAAGGUGGGGAUGACGUCAAGUCCUCAUGGCCUUUAUGUCCAGGGCUACACACGUGCUACAAUGGGCAGUACAGA
Molecule: ribosomal RNA, 1216 nt
Filed under: metagenome
Description: bacterial SSU rRNA
Rfam family: Bacterial small subunit ribosomal RNA
Source: RNAcentral